Molecule: ribosomal RNA, 241 nt
Filed under: uncultured bacterium
Lineage: Bacteria
Description: partial 16S ribosomal RNA
Rfam family: Bacterial small subunit ribosomal RNA
Source: RNAcentral
AAGGCUUGACAUGUUCUCGAUCGCCGUAGAGAUACGGUUUCCCCCUUUGGGGCGGGUUCACAGGUGGUGCAUGGUUGUCGUCAGCUCGUGUCGUGAGAUGUUGGGUUAAGUCCCGCAACGAGCGCAACCCUCGUUCCAUGUUGCCAGCACGUAAUGGUGGGGGACUCAUGGGAGACUGCCGGGUCAACUCGGAGGAAGGUGAGGACGACGUCAAAUCAUCAUGCCCCUUAUGUCUUGGCUU